Pyrus x bretschneideri (Chinese white pear) is the source of this 1057-nucleotide long non-coding RNA. RefSeq lists it as uncharacterized. The transcript is spliced from 2 exons. The record is from RefSeq and is a predicted model, not a curated record. Lineage: Eukaryota; Viridiplantae; Streptophyta; Magnoliopsida; Rosales; Rosaceae.
CUCUCUUCACUAGCCACCUCUAUUAAGAACAUAAUUUCCCAACUAGAGUAAAUACAUUUUCUAUGACUGAGUGUUGCUUCUUUGAUUAAAAUUUAUUUUUAUAACGUCGAUGGUUAGAUGAUGAUGAUGGAUGUAAAUAAAAUAAACGGUUUCGAUUAUAACUUUUGUGCGUGCAGAUAUUUAGAAGAUGAUGAUGGUAAAUAAAAUAAACCGAUUAUAAUUUUUGUGCGUGCAGAAAGUUCCAGAGUUCUCCUUUUAGCAAGUACUCCUUCCGGAGGAGGAGCUAAAGUAAAAUCCAAUCGGUUAAAUGUGAACGGUUAAUUAGCGCCAUCCUGCCCAGAAGCCCCAAAUUCUCUCUCUCUCUCUCUCUCUCUCUCUCUCUCUCUCUCUCUCACAAACAAACCAUGGAGGACCGCCGACUCGAAGACACCACAGGUCCAAUUUCAAGUCCCUUGCCGGACCGAAGAAGCUCCGAGAGAAAUCCCCGUCUUGGAUGCGCGGUGCCUAUUUGGAUCGAUGCUUUGCUUUACUAUGCUGUUUGAUCUCUGUUGGCCUUUGCUUUGCUUUACUUUGGGGUGGUGUUUUUAAUUCACUUGAUCUCCAACACAAUCCUGCAACUACAUUCUACAAGAAAUACUUUCCUUGUGCAAGUAUUAUGACACAGUAAAAACCAUAUAACCUUGGAACGAUCCAAGCAUCCUUCUCCGUGCGCGUAUAAUUUCACUCAAUCUGCUUAUGAGAAAUUAAUAAGUGCAAUUCUCGAAGACAUGUAAAAUGUUCGACUCCACGAGGCAGUUGCUUCAACUCCAAGCAUUCAUUUCUAUGAUCACCACAUUCGGUCAGUCGAGGGGAAUGGUUUAGAGUUUAACUUGCAAGCUCUGUUUCUAAUGUACGAAGUUUUUCCUAUGUCUUUCGGAAGCAGCAAUUCAACGAUCGGGAAAGCUUUAAGAUCUAAGACCCUUUGGUAAUAUGAACCGUUCAGUUCAUUCAAUAGAAAAGGAGUGGCCAUGGUAGAAGCAUAUUCUUCAAUUGUUUCUGCCCCAUUGUUUUUUUAACA